UGGCAGCUUCUUCCUCUUCGUCCAAAGUACUCCCGGAGUCGUGGCAAGUGUUUAUCAAUUUUCGUGGAGCAGAUUUGCGCAACAGUUUCAUUAGCCAUCUGGAGGGAGCCUUGAACGUAGCUGAAAUCAAAUACUAUAUCGACACGAAUGAAGUCCCAAGCGAAGAUCUCACUGUCCUUUUCACGAGGAUUGAACAAUCGAAAUCGCUCUGUCGAUCUUCUCGAGCAACUACGCUGAAUCAAAAUGGUGUCUAGAUGAGCUUGUGAAGAUCAUGGAACAAGUGAAGAAAGGAAAACUCAGAAUGAUCCCCGUAUUCUUCAAUGUGGCACCUGAGGAAGUGAAAGAGCAGAAGGGAGAGUUCGGCCUUAAGCUCUACAGAGAAGGUAAAAGAAAAAGACCCAAUAUACCGGAUUUGGAGAACGCUUUGCAGUCUGUUCCAAGCAAGAUAGGCUUGAAUUUGGCGAAUUAUAGGUAUAGUGAUAUUGUUUGAGUAUAUCAUUUUCAUUCUUUUGAUAGUGUUUCACUGAUUUUUUUUUUCAUCAUUCGUAUUGCAUGAACGAGAGGUAACUCGUUGACAUGAUCGUUGACUCGAUCAAAAGAGUGCUUGCCCUAAUUCCACUUUCAAGCAAAGUAGUAGAGUAUCUCAACGGAAUCUCAAAAGAGGCAGGGGUAGAGAAUGUAGAUACAUUUUCGAUAAGCUCCGAUGAGUUUCUAUUUUCUUCCAUGGAUUACUCAGUCACCGACGAUGACCAUGGAAUCCCUCCCUUUCUGCAAGAAGCCGGAAGCAGACUAGAAGAACAUCUUAACGAGAUCUCUACCGUAAGUACAAAUGGUAAUAUUCCCUCUGGACACACCGAACAGCCUCCAGUACCCGACUACUUAAUGAAACAACGCCUUGAGGAGUUGGAAGAAAAGAUACAUUUUGAUUGCGUCGAAAAUAAAUUUGUUGGAAUUGUUGGAAUGCCUGGGACUGGUAAAACUACUCUUGCGGAAACGUUGUAUAAAAAGUGGCAACAAAAGUUUAAGAGGGGCAUGUUUUUCCCAGGUGUCAGUAAGAUGGCCAAUGAGCAGGGAUCGUAUCGGCUGCAAGAGAGGUAAUUGAAAGAGCUGUUGAAGGAUACUAAUCUCCUCCACAUAGGAUAUACAUCGAAUAAACAUGAGAGUUUAAAGGAUUUUCUUCUCCAAGAGGAAGUUUUUCUUGUUAUAGAUGAUGUUAGUGGCAAGAUACAGAUCAGAUCUCUUUUUGGUAAUUGCGAUUGGUUUAAAAAAGGAAGCAAGAUUGUUAUUACAUCAAGUGAUGGGUCCCUGAUCAAGGAAUUGGUUGACGAUACGUACCUAGUCCCGAGAUUGGACAACAGAAGUAGUUUACUAUGGUUUACCAGUAACGCCUUUGGUUUAGUGGAUCAUGCCGAGGGAAAUUUAGUAAAGCUGUCAAGACACUUUCUGAAUUAUGCCAAACGCAACCCACUAGCCCUCAGAGAUUUUGGUGUAGAACUUCAUGGGAAAGACGAGGCUUAUUGGGAACAGAGGAUUGGAACACUGGCACAAAGUUCUAAUAAGAUGAUCCAAUAUGUCUUGAGAAAAAGAUACGAUGAGCUCACAUCGAGGCAGCAAGAGGCUUUUCUUGACGUUGCAUGUUUCUUCAAAUCAGAGAAUGCAAGUUAUGUAAGAUGCCUGGUAAAUUCAUGUGAUUCUACUACGGUUUGGGAUGAAACAAGAGAUCUCCAAGACAAGUUUCUCGUUAAUAUUUCUGGUGGUCGAGUUCAGAUGCAUGAUAUAUUAUGCACAUUCGCCAAGGAACUUGCUUCACAAACAUUGACUGAAAAUACAGGGGUUCAUCUCAGGCUUUGGAACUAUCAAGAUAUCAUUUAUUUGCCGAAGAAUAAAUUGGAAAUGGAAAAUGUCAGAGGUAUUUUCUUAGACAUGUCUAAAGUUCCGGAGGAAAUGAUAUUUUGCUAACAUCUUUAGCAAUAUGUGCAAUCUUUGAUAUCUUAAAAUAUACAAUUCCGCCAGCCCUAAGGAAGGCGAAGAUAUUUUCAAAUUUGACAUGGUUAAGGAGUUUCAUUUACCAUUAGAUAAGGUAUGUUAUCUCCACUGGAUGAAAUAUCCAUUUGAGCAACUUCCAUCAGACUUCAACCCAGAGAAUCUUGUUGAUCUUGAACUGCCUUGUAGCUCCAUUAAGAAAGUUUGGGAGGGUGUUAAGGAUACCCAAAAACUAAAAUGGGCCAAUCUCAGCUAUUCGAGUAAGUUGACUAAUCUUUCAGGGUUGUCAAAUGCUAAAAAUCUUGAAAGAUUGAAUCUUGAAGGUUGCACAAGUUUGCAUGAACUGCCCCAAGAGAUGGAGAACAUGAAAAGUCUUGUCUUCCUGAAUAUGAGAGGUUGCAAGAGUCUAACAUUUCUUCAGAGGAUGAAAUUGAGCUCUCUAAAAAUUCUCAUACUCAGUGACUGCCCAAAACUUCACGAGUUUGAGGUGAUUUCGGAAAUCUGGAAGCAUUAUAUUUAGAUGGAACUGCAGUAAAGGGACUUCCUCCAGCCAUCGGGGAUCUGAUGAGACUUACCAUAUUGAAUAUGAAAGGUUGUACAGAACUGGAGAAUCUUCCCGAAUGUCUUGGAAAACAGAAAGCUCUUGAAGAACUCAUACUCUCUGGUUGUUCAAAGCUCGAGAGUGUUCCAAAGGAUGUAGCAAACAUGAAACAUUUACGGAUCUUAUUGCUUGGUGGCACAAGAAUCAAAGAGAUCCCUAAGAUAUACUCGUUGCAGCGUUUAUGCUUAAGUAGAAAUAUUGAAAUGGUCCAUCUGCAAGGUAACCUCAGUCAAUUCUAUCAUCUGAAAUGGCUUGUCUUGAAGAACUGCAAGAAUCUUAGAUAUCUUCCAACGCUUCCACCAUAUCUUGAUUACCUAAAUGCAUAUGGCUGUGAAAAACUAGAAACAGUUGUGAAUCCUCUCGUCCUUCGUAUGAUAACUGGGCAGAUCCGUUCCACUUUCUUUUUCACUAAUUGCAACAAUAUCUAUCAAGAUGCAAAAGAGUCAAUCUUAUCCUACGCGAAAUGGAAAUGCCAGCGACUUGCACUUGAAUGCUAC
Non-coding RNA from Camelina sativa (false flax), 3081 nucleotides. Lineage: Eukaryota; Viridiplantae; Streptophyta; Magnoliopsida; Brassicales; Brassicaceae. The record is from RefSeq and is a predicted model, not a curated record.